GCAUAUCAAUAAGCGGAGGAAAAGAAACCAACAGGGAUUGCCCCAGUAACGGCGAGUGAAGCGGCAACAGCUCAAAUUUGAAAUCUGGUCCCUAGGGCCCGAGUUGUAAUUUGUAGAGGAUGCUUUUGGUGAGGUGCCGCCCGAGUUCCCUGGAACGGGACGCCACAGAGGGUGAGAGCCCCGUCUGGCUGGCCGCCGAGCCUCUGUAAAGCUCCUUCGACGAGUCGAGUAGUUUGGGAAUGCUGCUCAAAAUGGGAGGUAUAUGUCUUCUAAAGCUAAAUAUUGGCCAGAGACCGAUAGCGCACAAGUAGAGUGAUCGAAAGAUGAAAAGCACCUUGAAAAGAGGGUUAAAUAGUACGUGAAAUUGUUGAAAGGGAAGCGCUUGUGACCAGACUUGGGCGCGGCGGAUCAUCCGGGGUUCUCUCCGGUGCACUUCGCCGCGUCUAGGCCAGCAUCAGUUCGUCGCGGGGGAAAAAGGCUUCGGGAACGUGGCUCCUCCGGGAGUGUUAUAGCCCGUUGCAUAAUACCCUGCGGUGGACUGAGGACCGCGCAUCUGCAAGGAUGCUGGCGUAAUGGUCACCAGCGACCCGUCUUGAAACACGGACCAAGGAGUCGUCUUCGUAUGCGAGUGUUCGGGUGUCAAACCCCUACGCGUAAUGAAAGUGAACGCAGGUGAGAGCUUCGGCGCAUCAUCGACCGAUCCUGAUGUUCUCGGAUGGAUUUGAGUAAGAGCAUACGGGGCCGGACCCGAAAGAAGGUGAACUAUGCCUGUAUAGGGUGAAGCCAGAGGAAACUCUGGUGGAGGCUCGCAGCGGUUCUGACGUGCAAAUCGAUCGUCAAAUAUGGGCAUGGGGGCGAAAGACUAAUCGAACCUUCUAGUAGCUGGUUUCCGCCGAAGUU
This 900-nucleotide ribosomal RNA is filed under the name Trichoderma harzianum. RNAcentral describes it as "LSU rRNA". It matches the Rfam family "Eukaryotic large subunit ribosomal RNA", at positions 38 to 968 of the family's 3401-position model. Lineage: Eukaryota; Fungi; Ascomycota; Sordariomycetes; Hypocreales; Hypocreaceae. The record is from RNAcentral.